GACGAACGCUGGCGGCGUGCUUAACACAUGCAAGUCGAACGGAAAGGCCCUGCUUUUGUGGGGUGCUCGAGUGGCGAACGGGUGAGUAACACGUGAGUAACCUGCCCUUGACUUUGGGAUAACUUCAGGAAACUGGGGCUAAUACCGGAUAGGAGCUCCUGCUGCAUGGUGGGGGUUGGAAAGUUUCGGCGGUUGGGGAUGGACUCGCGGCUUAUCAGCUUGUUGGUGGGGUAGUGGCUUACCAAGGCUUUGACGGGUAGCCGGCCUGAGAGGGUGACCGGAAACAUAGGGACUGAGAUACGGCCCAGACUCCUACGGGAGGCAGCAGUGGGGAAUAUUGCACAAUGGGCGGAAGCAUGAUGAAGCAACGCCGCGUGCGGGAUGACGGCCUUCGGGUUGUAAAACGCUUGAGACUGUGACGAAGCGUGAGUGACGGUAAUGGGUAAAGAAGCACCGGCUAACUACGUG
Molecule: ribosomal RNA, 468 nt
Filed under: uncultured bacterium
Lineage: Bacteria
Description: partial 16S ribosomal RNA
Rfam family: Bacterial small subunit ribosomal RNA
Source: RNAcentral